GGAGGUAGUGACAAUAAAUCACAAUGCGGAACUAUUUAGUUUUGCAAUUGGAUUGAGAACAAUGUACAAAUGUUAUCGAUAAACAAUUGGAGGGCAAGUCUGGUGCCAGCAGCCGCGGUAAUUCCAGCUCCAAUAGCGUAUAUUAACGUUGUUGCAGUUAAAAAGCUCGUAGUUGAAAUGUGGGAUGAAGUAUAUGAUGAAUUUAAUAUUCAAUUAUAUAUUGAUUCCCCUCUCCAAUUUAUUAUUAUGGGUAUUAAUUUAUUUGUAAUAAGAAUUGGUCAUUUACUGUGAGAAAAUUAGAGUGUUCAAAGCAGGCAUUUGCUUGAAUAGAUUAGCAUGGAAUAAUACUAAAAGGCUUUUAUGGUCGAUUUAAUUGGUUUGUUCAUAAAAGCAAGAUUAAAAGGAACAGUUGGGGGUAUUCAUAUUCAAUAGUUAGAGGUGAAAUUCUCGGAUUUAUGGAAGAUGAACAAGUGCGAAAGCA
RNAcentral lists this ribosomal RNA (481 nucleotides) under Blastocystis sp. RNAcentral describes it as "SSU rRNA". It matches the Rfam family "Eukaryotic small subunit ribosomal RNA", at positions 460 to 953 of the family's 1831-position model. RNAcentral also lists the same sequence under 1 other name. Lineage: Eukaryota; Bigyra; Opalinata; Blastocystidae. The record is from RNAcentral.